RNAcentral lists this ribosomal RNA (497 nucleotides) under uncultured bacterium. RNAcentral describes it as "partial 16S ribosomal RNA". It matches the Rfam family "Bacterial small subunit ribosomal RNA", at positions 28 to 507 of the family's 1533-position model. The record is from RNAcentral.
GAUGAACGCUGGCGGCGUGCCUAAUACAUGCAAGUCGAGCGAACGGACGAGAAGCUUGCUUCUCUGAUGUUAGCGGCGGACGGGUGAGUAACACGUGGAUAACCUACCUAUAAGACUGGGAUAACUUCGGGAAACCGGAGCUAAUACCGGAUAAUAUUUUGAACCGCAUGGUUCAAAAGUGAAAGACGGUCUUGCUGUCACUUAUAGAUGGAUCCGCGCUGCAUUAGCUAGUUGGUAAGGUGACGGCUUACCAAGGCAACGAUGCAUAGCCGACCUGAGAGGGUGAUCGGCCACACUGGAACUGAGACACGGUCCAGACUCCUACGGGAGGCAGCAGUAGGGAAUCUUCCGCAAUGGGCGAAAGCCUGACGGAGCAACGCCGCGUGAGUGAUGAAGGUCUUCGGAUCGUAAAACUCUGUUAUUAGGGAAGAACAUAUGUGUAAGUAACUGUGCACAUCUUGACGGUACCUAAUCGGAAAGCCACGGCUAACUACGUG